CGAUAAACGUUGAAUGGGAAGAGUACAAUUGCUGUCUCGUUACAGAGAGAGAAAUCAUUUGCUGGAAGAUUUCUUACGUAGAUAAAUUGGAAGGUCGCCCAGGAGUUGCUUCUUUGAAUUAAGUAGGAGAAGCCGGUGUAGACCGUUAUAAAUCUUGAGUGCAUAGACUAUGCUUGCGUAUUUCUUAUAGUUAAGGGAAUUAUAAAAAUUCUUGUACUAUGGAUUAGCGCUUUGACAUCCAGCUCCAGCGCCUAGUGAACUUCACACUCCUUAUACGCUAAGUCAACAUCGAAUCGCUUACGCUCUUCGUGUUUCCUUUAUCUCAUACGGAGUGCUCUUGUUUCUCGUCGCUGAUCAAGGCGCUUGCGCUUUUGUUCCUGGUCUAUGAAAAAAGGUGGUACCGCGAAAAUUUUCUCCUUUCGUCCUUUUA
This 430-nucleotide non-coding RNA is filed under the name Metabacillus litoralis. Its description in RNAcentral is "Bacillus litoralis T-box sequence". It matches the Rfam family "T-box leader". From Rfam's summary of the family: Uncharged tRNA acts as the effector for transcription antitermination of genes in the T-box leader family. T-boxes are found upstream of many aminoacyl-tRNA synthetase genes and some amino acid biosynthetic genes usually in Gram-positive bacteria. Lineage: Bacteria; Bacillati; Bacillota; Bacilli; Caryophanales; Bacillaceae. The record is from RNAcentral.